This 403-nucleotide ribosomal RNA is filed under the name Verrucomicrobiota bacterium. RNAcentral describes it as "Verrucomicrobia bacterium partial 16S ribosomal RNA". It matches the Rfam family "Bacterial small subunit ribosomal RNA", at positions 355 to 776 of the family's 1533-position model. Lineage: Bacteria; Pseudomonadati; Verrucomicrobiota. The record is from RNAcentral.
UGGGGAAUAUUGCACAAUGGGGGAAACCCUGAUGCAGCGACGCCGCGUGAGCGAAGAAGGCUUUCGAGUCGUAAAGCUCUGUCCUAUGAGAAGAUAAUGACGGUAUCAUAGGAGGAAGCCCUGGCUAAAUACGUGUCAGCAGCCGCGGUAAUACGUAGGUCCCGAGCGUUGUCCGGAUUUAUUGGGCGUAAAGCGAGCGCAGGAGGUUAGAAAAGUCUGAAGUGAAAGGCAGUGGCUCAACCAUUGUAGGCUUUGGAAACUGUUUAACUUGAGUGCAGAAGGGGAGAGUGGAAUUCCAUGUGUAGCGGUGAAAUGCGUAGAUAUAUGGAGGAACACCGGUGGCGAAAGCGGCUCUCUGGUCUGUAACUGACGCUGAGGCUCGAAAGCGUGGGGAGCGAACAGG